UCACGUGCUACAAUGGCAUAUACAAUGAGACGCAAUACCGCGAGGUGGAGCAAAUCUAUAAAAUAUGUCUUAGUUCGGAUUGUUCUCUGCAACUCGAGAGCAUGAAGCC
This 109-nucleotide ribosomal RNA is filed under the name uncultured Campylobacter sp. Its description in RNAcentral is "partial 16S ribosomal RNA". It matches the Rfam family "Bacterial small subunit ribosomal RNA", at positions 1218 to 1327 of the family's 1533-position model. The record is from RNAcentral. Lineage: Bacteria; Pseudomonadati; Campylobacterota; Epsilonproteobacteria; Campylobacterales; Campylobacteraceae.